UGUCACUUGUAUUGAUAAGUGCUCCAUUAAUAAGUUGGCACCGGGAUCUGAUGUUAAUCUCACUUCAUUCUCUGUUGUACACUUGACCCAGCAACAUCGCAGCAACGUAGCAUCAUAUCUGUAAAAGAAACUAUGAAGGAAGCAACUGUUCUGUUACAUAUUGUCACAUUGAUGGCAUGUCUGUAUAUCAACGCUAGCACUUUCGUCGUCAACAACAACGACAACAACAGCAAAAGCAGCAACGAUAACAACAUUAAUUACGAUGUCAACAACGACACCAAAAUAGGGACGUCAGAAUCUUCAGUUGUUUCAUCCAAGCCCUGUACCCUGAAUUCGUCGCAUUGUAGAAGCGGUGAAACGUGUGUAAUAUAUAACCGCAGUUUACAGUGCCGUAAGUUAACUGCCAGAGAACAGUACUUUUGUUACCGAUGUAAGAACAGCUUAUGUGACUUUGACGGGGACGGAUAUAUGACAUGUCACUGCAAACCACAUUGGACGGGACAAUGAAAUAAGUACCAGUCGAACACUGAGGUUGAUAUAAUAGACAUAAACACCCAACUGAAAUUCCAGGCUUUGUGCCAAAAUUUGCAACCAUAACUAUGCUUGAGGAAUUGCACAAUUGGUAAAUGAAAGGAGACAAAGAAUAUUGCGAAUGCCCCGACAAUUUUACGCCUACAUCGAACUGCACAAAACAAUACAACGAUUUUCCUUCGAGGCUAUGCUAGAGCAACGCUUUGAAGGGUUUAGGCAAACAAAUCGAUCACAGUAAAGUCUAGAACUUACUCAGUCGUUAACUUUGGCUAACGGUUAAAUUACAGGAAUAUAAACAAACCAACACCCGUUGUCAAGCAAAGGUGGGGGACAAACACAAAGACCCACACACAUAUAUACCGGCAUAUCUCAACAUAAGUUGUUUCGAGGAACAUCGUUUUUAUAAAGAAUUUCUUCGUAAAAUCAUCAUCCUAUGGUGAUUUAUCCGACUUAACGUUUUGUCUCAAGGAACAUACAUAAAAGCAUAGAAUUUGCCAUAGAAGAAAAAAACAUGCAAAUCAAUGCUUCAAUGGAAAAUCAAAUAAAGUGCAUGUGAAAAUAUAAAUAAACAAUUAUAUAUAUAUA
This is a long non-coding RNA of Octopus sinensis (East Asian common octopus), 1116 nucleotides long. RefSeq lists it as uncharacterized. The record is from RefSeq and is a predicted model, not a curated record. The transcript has 2 exons. NCBI's taxonomy places the organism in Eukaryota, Metazoa, Mollusca, Cephalopoda, Octopoda, Octopodidae.